CUUGCACCCUCGGCCGCCAUGCAGUUUAUGUUGCUUUUUAGUCAUCAAGGAAAGCUUCAACUGCAGAAAUGGUAUGUCCCACUUUCAGACAAGGAGAAGGAAAAGAUCACAAGAGAACUUGUUGAAACCAUUUUAGUACGGAAACCUAAAAUGUGCAGCUUCCUUGAGUGGCCAGAUUUAAAGAUUGUUUACAAAAGAUAUGCUAGUCUGUAUUUCUGCUGUGCUAUUGAAGAUCAGGACAAUGAGCCAAUUGCCCUGGAAAUAAUUCAUUGUUAUGUGAGAUUACUUGACAAGUAUUUUGGCAGUGUGUGUGAACUUGAUAUCAUCUUUAAUUUUGAGGAGGCAUAUUUUAUUUUGGAUGAGUUACUUUUGGGCAGGGAAGUUCAGGAAACAUCCAAGAAAAUUUUUCUUAAAACAAUUGAGCAGGCUGAUCUACUGCAGGAGGAAGCUGAAACCCCAUGUAGUGCUCUUGAAGAAAUUGGACUGACAUAA
RNA transcript from Galeopterus variegatus (Sunda flying lemur), 492 nucleotides. It is a transcript of the gene named AP-1 complex subunit sigma-2 pseudogene, with no coding region annotated. NCBI's taxonomy places the organism in Eukaryota, Metazoa, Chordata, Mammalia, Dermoptera, Cynocephalidae. The transcript has a single exon. The record is from RefSeq and is a predicted model, not a curated record.